GACGAACGCUGGCGGCGUGCCUAAUACAUGCAAGUUGAGCGAUGAAGAUUGGUGCUUGCACCAAUUUGCAGAGCAGCGAGCGGGUGAGUAACGCGUGGGGAAUCUGCCUUUGAGCGGGGGACAACAUUUGGAAACGAAUGCUAAUACCGCAUAACAACUUUAAACAUAAGUUUUAAGUUUGAAAGAUGCAAUUGCAUCACUCAAAGAUGAUCCCGCGUUGUAUUAGCUAGUUGGUGAGGUAAAGGCUCACCAAGGCGAUGAUACAUAGCCGACCUGAGAGGGUGAGCGGCCACAUUGGGACUGUGACACGGCCCAAACUCCUACGGGAGGCAGCAGUAGGGAAUCUUCGGCAAUGGACGAAAGUCUGACCGAGCAACGCCGCGUGAGUGAAGAAGGUUUUCGGAUCGGAAAACUCUGUUGGUAGAGAAGAACGUUGGUGAGAGUGGAAAGCUCAUCAAGUGACGGUAACGACCCAGAAAGGGACGGCUAACUACGUG
RNAcentral lists this ribosomal RNA (497 nucleotides) under uncultured bacterium. RNAcentral describes it as "partial 16S ribosomal RNA". It matches the Rfam family "Bacterial small subunit ribosomal RNA", at positions 28 to 507 of the family's 1533-position model. The record is from RNAcentral.